RNAcentral lists this ribosomal RNA (253 nucleotides) under uncultured bacterium. RNAcentral describes it as "partial 16S ribosomal RNA". It matches the Rfam family "Bacterial small subunit ribosomal RNA", at positions 524 to 776 of the family's 1533-position model. The record is from RNAcentral.
UACGUAGGGUGCAAGCGUUAAUCGGAAUUACUGGGCGUAAAGCGUGCGCAGGCGGUUGUGUAAGACAGAUGUGAAAUCCCCGGGCUCAACCUGGGAAUUGCAUUUGAGACUGCACGGCUAGAGUGUGUCAGAGGGGGGUAGAAUUCCACGUGUAGCAGUGAAAUGCGUAGAUAUGUGGAGGAAUACCGAUGGCGAAGGCAGCCCCCUGGGAUAACACUGACGCUCAUGCACGAAAGCGUGGGGAGCAAACAGG